AGAGUUUGAUCAUGGCUCAGGACGAACGCUGGCGGCGUGCCUAACACAUGCAAGUCGAACGGGACCAGGGGCAACUCUGGUUCAGUGGCGGACGGGUGCGUAACACGUGAGGAACAUGACUUUCGGCGGGGGAUAGCCGGCCCAACGGCCGGGUAAUACCGCGUACGACCUCUCGGGGACAUCCCCGGUUGGUGAAAGCAGCAAUGCACCGAAAGAGUGCCUCGCGGCCUAUCAGCUAGUUGGUGAGGUAACGGCUCACCAAGGCGACGACGGGUAGCUGGUCUGAGAGGAUGGCCAGCCACAUUGGGACUGAGACACGGCCCAGACUCCUACGGGAGGCAGCAGUGGGGAAUCUUGCGCAAUGGGCGAAAGCCUGACGCAGCGACGCCGCGUGGGGGAUGACGGCUUUCGGGUUGUAAACCUCUUUCGACCUCGACGAAGCUUUCGGGUGACGGUAGGGGUAGAAGAAGCACCGGCCAACUACGUGCCAGCAGCGGCGGUAAUAC
Molecule: ribosomal RNA, 506 nt
Filed under: uncultured bacterium
Lineage: Bacteria
Description: bacterial SSU rRNA
Rfam family: Bacterial small subunit ribosomal RNA
Source: RNAcentral